RNAcentral lists this transfer RNA (77 nucleotides) under Xanthomonas citri pv. mangiferaeindicae (agent of mango bacterial black spot). Its description in RNAcentral is "tRNA-Arg". It matches the Rfam family "tRNA". From Rfam's summary of the family: Transfer RNA (tRNA) molecules are approximately 80 nucleotides in length. Lineage: Bacteria; Pseudomonadati; Pseudomonadota; Gammaproteobacteria; Lysobacterales; Lysobacteraceae. The record is from RNAcentral. RNAcentral also lists the same sequence under 17 other names.
GGCCCCGUAGCUCAGCUGGAUAGAGCAUCCCCCUCCUAAGGGGAAGGUCGCACGUUCGAAUCGUGCCGGGGUCGCCA